RNAcentral lists this ribosomal RNA (255 nucleotides) under uncultured bacterium. RNAcentral's name for it is "partial 16S ribosomal RNA". It matches the Rfam family "Bacterial small subunit ribosomal RNA", at positions 96 to 353 of the family's 1533-position model. The record is from RNAcentral.
UGGCGGACGGGUGAGUAAUGUCUGGGAAACUGCCUGAUGGAGGGGGAUAACUACUGGAAACGGUAGCUAAUACCGCAUAACGUCGCAAGACCAAAGAGGGGGACCUUCGGGCCUCUUGCCAUCGGAUGUGCCCAGAUGGGAUUAGCUAGUAGGUGGGGUAACGGCUCACCUAGGCGACGAUCCCUAGCUGGUCUGAGAGGAUGACCAGCCACACUGGAACUGAGACACGGUCCAGACUCCUACGGGGGCAGCAUG